CCUAAAGAAAAAUGAUAUCAUUAGAUUGCCAAAUUGAGUCGUAUAUGUUGAGCCUUUUAUUUCUUAUCACCAGAUAUGUCUACCCUUACACCUUAAACAUUUUUCUUUACCCUUUCCAAGCUAGCUAGUGAGCAAUGUGAGAUUGUCUUAUGAGAAAUGUUUGUGAAGUACUUUGAAGCAGUUUAGAAAAAGAAUAAGUGUGGGGGUAUUUCAUGGUUGUAUUUAGUUAUGUGCAAAAUUGGUUCAAAAAUAAAAAAAUAAAAAAAUAAAGAAGAAUAAAAAGAAAAGAAAAAUUGUAUACAAAGCAAAUAAAAAGUUUUUUAAGUUUCAGUUUAGGGGUGUGGUUGGAGGUAAUAGUAGAGUGGUUGGAGAGCUUGAGUUCUUAUAAAAUCUCAACAAGAGAAUUGCUUGCAAUGUAGCUUGGAACUUGUGUUUACCUAUCCUUUCAUUUCUAUAACCCUUUUCCUAAGGCUCAUUACAACCAAUAAAAGUUCUCUUGAUUUAAGUUUUGCAAUUAUGAUUGUGGAGAUGAGAUCUUUAUGCAAGCUUAUGGUAGAUCUUUCACACUUGAUUCUUUGAGCGAAACACGUUAAACUAAAUAUAUGUGUGAUUGAGUGUAUGUCCCGUGAGAAGGUCACUAGUUUACCUGUAGUGUUUUAAAAAAAAAACUUGAAAUUGCAUUAGCAUGGCUAUUACACACACUACACUUCAAGGAUGAUUAAAAGUUUCCUGCUAACAUUUGAAUAAGGAAGAUGAGCUUCGAUUAGCUUGUUUGGUGCUAGCUAAGGUUCUUGAUGAUUUUUUUUCUUGAAUGAAAUUCUAUGAGGGUCACAUAGGGGGAAGCUAUUGUUUUUCACGUUGCAACUUUUUCAUAUUUUCUUCGUUUUGCUCGAGGACUAGCAAAUGCUAAGUGUGGGGGUAUUUGAUAAGCUCACAUUUAUAUAUAUUUUACAUCAAAUUCACUUGUCUUUUCUUAGUUAGUUCCUUAUAUUUUUUAGCUAUUUAUGUUGUUUUUGUGUUUUGUAGGAUUUGUCAAGCAAGGAAAAGAAAAAUAGCACAAGUAGGAUUUUUAGUAACAAAUUCGUCAAAACUGCCUGUGCAGAUCAGCUGAGUUUGGAACGAGUUAUGAACAACUCAAAAUGAAUUAGAGAAUGAGGCUUAUAUGCUUGGAAAGCUACGGAUGUCUAUUUUCUGGAGUAUUUUGCAGAUUGUUAAUAUCAUUUGUCUAGAAGAUGUUAUGGCCAUUUUAACACUGAAAGGUUCCCAAGAGGUUGAGCAGUUUGUAAUUGACAAGACUGCAAUGAAAGCACUAAACCCAAUAAUCUAGCAGUCAAAACUGAUGUAGCCAAGAACAAGUCAGCUGAUACCUAUUCAAAUAUCAGAGGAAAUGGAAAUAAAUAUGAGAAUUAAGUGGGAGUAAUGGGCAUAAAGGCUACCCAAAGAGUUACAAUUGUUUUACCAUUUCCUCUCACUUAUGGUCAUCACUAAAUGACUGUUAGUGGGGUGAGUUAUGGAGAAAAAACUAGGGUAUCAAGCAAGAACAAAAAGGUGCAGGUUGCAGCUGCAAAGAUGGGGGAGAAAAAAAUAGAAUAGAAAGAAAAGGCAAGGCAACAGCGUUGGGGAAGGAAGGAAACGAAGGAGGAAAUCUUGGCAUUCUCUUCUCUCGGUUUUAUCUUCUCAAACUCAUGUCUUUCUAUUGAUUUUAUUUGAUAAUAAUGUGUAACUAAAUUUUUAGUACUUAGGGGCUGGUUUGAAGCCCCGAAUAUGAUUGCAAGUUUGUUAAGACAUUUCCUUUGAAUUACUUUUAUGAAUGGAUGAAAAUUGGUUCACUACUUGUCUCAUUGAUGAAUUCUUUAUUUGUUUUCUACAGAUGCAUACUUAGUAAGCAUAUCUAGGAUUCUAACGCUAUGAAUAUGUGUAUGUCUGCCCUUGUCGAAUGACGACCUACAUAUGUUCUAGAGUGGUACUUGUUAAUCACGAUUAAUAAGUGAACCAAUUUCUAAGAUAAGUAAGACAACGCUAGUACUUACGAUGCCUUGUGAUGACUCAAACUCUUUUCGUUCUUAAUGAUUUCUAAUUGUUAAAUCUAUGAACACACCAUUCUAGAUUGCAUGCUAGGAACUAAGUUAAGUUGAAAACGCCAUUUGAUAGGAUUUUUAACGUCUAUGCAAAUAGAGUCAAAAUCACAUGAAAUACUUGCAAGAAUACAAGGAUAUUGUAGUAUUAUAGAUGCUCAUGCAAGGUCGUUUUCCUCGAGGACUAUGUGGAUAAUUUAAGUAGAAACAAUUCCUAAUUAAAUACUUAAAAUUAAAACUUGAGAAAAGAGAGUUUGAGAGUGGGUAAUAUUAAAAACGAAUUUUAAACAAAAACUAAAAUAAUCAAUGAAAAGAGUUUUAAAUACCAAUUUAUAAAGGCACUAGGGUUCCACCAUCACCUAGCAAUUCUAUGUAUUUUUACCAAUUGCUUAUGAUUUACACAUGCCACUUCGAAUGUUAGGUUUUUCUAAUAUAUAUUCUUCUCGUGAUAUUCAAGCAAGAACAUAUAUUUAACAUGCAAUCCGUCUGUGAUAUUCAGAUCAAAUAUGAACAUGCAAGACUCAUUAAGUUUUAUGAAAACCAUACAACCCCUAAGAACGUGAUGUUCGCCUUAGAUGAAAUUACAAUUAUCAAUCAUAAGAAGCAAUACUCAAUCCUCCGGUGAUAUUCCGACCGAAUUGCAUCCAAUUACUUGUCUAAACAUCCUAAUGGUGGUCAAUCAUCAAGAUAAUUAGAUAGUUUAAAACAGUGAUAAAUAAUUCAAAGUGUGCAUGCAAUCAAUCAUAAGCAAUUAAAUAAAAAUUACAUAUUCAUGCUAAGGCUCAAGGUUUUGCCCUAGCAAGGAGAAUUAGUUAUGCAUAU
RNAcentral lists this long non-coding RNA (2897 nucleotides) under Malus domestica (apple). RNAcentral's name for it is "long non-coding RNA (MDOM_LNC013417)". Lineage: Eukaryota; Viridiplantae; Streptophyta; Magnoliopsida; Rosales; Rosaceae. The record is from RNAcentral.